Dioscorea cayenensis subsp. rotundata (Guinea yam) is the source of this 222-nucleotide long non-coding RNA. RefSeq lists it as uncharacterized. NCBI's taxonomy places the organism in Eukaryota, Viridiplantae, Streptophyta, Magnoliopsida, Dioscoreales, Dioscoreaceae. The record is from RefSeq and is a predicted model, not a curated record. The transcript has 3 exons.
CUUUUGAUAUAUAUCACAGAAAAUGGUGUUGAUGAUAAUAAUAUCAAGGAUUUACCACUUAAGGAUGCCUUAGAAGACAAUGUUCGGGUUCUCUAUUACUACCAACAUCUUCGAUAUCUACAAAGCGCAAUCAAGAAAGGCUCAAAUGUAAAAGCAUAUUUUGCUUGGGCAUUUUUGGAUGAUUUCGAAUGGGAUGCCGGCUUCACUGUUCGGUUUGGUCUC